RNAcentral lists this long non-coding RNA (2753 nucleotides) under Hordeum vulgare. RNAcentral's name for it is "long non-coding RNA (HVUL_LNC016776)". Lineage: Eukaryota; Viridiplantae; Streptophyta; Magnoliopsida; Poales; Poaceae. The record is from RNAcentral.
UUGUCCCCUACUUCCUAACUCCCCGAGGAAGUGUUUGAGGCGAGCCCCCUCCCAAUCCAGUCCCCAAAUCCACAUCUCCUUCUCUUUUCUCAUAGAUUCUUUCUCAAUUCCAACGACACCAAGUGGAUCGGCAGCCUAUAGCAGCAAUUUCGUGGGUGGUGGUGAUUUACUUUUUGCAACUUACAAGCUGGCCAGUUGGGAACAACGCCUUGAAAAGCUACUGUAAUAGGUACUAUACCAUAUGAAAUUCUGGAUUUUACAUUGCUAGAAUAACUAGAUUACUUUCAGUUAAAGAAUAAAUCUGGAAUUAUUAUAUUUUGCUGAUGGUUUGUUUGCAAAUUUCAAUUUAGGUAGCAAUGUGCAGAAAUAGAGAAACAAAUAUGCAUUCAUUUUUUAAAAGAAAAACAGAUGAUGCAUGUGUUGAACUUGAAGAUAUUUGGCCUCUUGAACCUCUACCAUUGGCAUUGCUUGAACGAGAGUAUCAUACUCAUAAUGAAGAGCAACAUCAAACUAAAAAUGAAGAAGCAGAACAGCUGAGUUAAAAUUACGAACAACAAACAAAUGAGCCUAUCAUAUUUCGAGGCGUGGAGUUCUUGCACAGUGAUCGUGCAUUGUGACCAUAGAUUUGGCAAUAUCCACCUAAUGUGAGAGAUGAAGUGCAAAGAGCAUACACGCAGCUAGGUCCUAUGCAGCCGAAGUUGAAUAAGUAUAAACCUUCUGGGAAACCUGGAUAUCAACGACGUUUCUAGUUCAGUUGGUUCAAAGAUUUUCCAUCAUGGUUAGAAUAUUCUAUUAGCAGCCAUCGUGCAUAUUGUUUUUACUGCUUCCUAGGUAGCAAUAACAUCAAGAAAUGAAAUAGUUUUGAUGUGUUUAGUGCUCAUGGCUUCAACCAUUGGAAAAAGUUUAAAAAUGGAGAAAGGUGUGCGUUCUUGGCUCAUAUUGGAUGCAGUCCUUGCUCACAGCAGAACAAGAUAGUGAGGGAUUGUCAUGCUAUCUUGGAUCAACCAAACCACAUAGUAAACAUUAUAGAAGUUCAAAGCAACAAAGAGAAAGAGAGAAAAACUUUACGGUUGAGAACAUCAAUUACAGUUCUGGCUCACCUUCUAGUCUUGUGCAUUCGGAGGCCAUGACGAGACACCCGAGUCAAGAAAUCGAGGGAACUUCAUUGAAUUGAUAAAGCUUCUUGCACAAUUCAACCCCGAAAUUUCAGCUGUAGUUCUAGAGAAUUCUCCUCGGUGUAGGAAAUACAUAUACCAUCAAAUUCAAGAAGAGAUAUUGAGUAUUUAUGCACUAAGGGUUAGGCAGUAUAUCCGCUAAGAGAUUGGUGAUUCAAAGUUCUCUAUUCUAGUGGAUGAAACAUGUGAUGUUGCUAAAAGAGAUCAAAUGGCAGUAGUGUUUAGAUUCCCCGAUAAAGAAGGUUUUCUACAAGAACGCUUCUUUAAUGUGAUACAUGUACAGAACACCAAAGCACUAACAUUAAAGGAAAAGUUGUCUGCUUUCUUGUCCAACAAUGGCUUUGAUGUUUAUAAUUUACGUGGCCAAGGAUACAAUGGGGCUAGCAACAUGAAGGGUGAGUUCAAUGAAUUACAAGCACUUUUCCUAAAAGACUGUCUGUAUGCAUAUUAUGUACACUGCUAUGCACAUCGUCUGCAACUUGCCCUUGUUGCUGCAGCAAAGGAUGUUGUUCGUGUUAGCCAACUUUUCCAAAAACUUUUGUACAUCAUAAACCUUGUUGAUUCUUCGUCAAAGCGACAUGAUGAUCAUAUUGAGACAAGCCAAGGGGGGAACCAGAUCAAGGCAUUAAAGCGUCCUGGAGACACUCGAUGGGGGUCGCACUUGGGUUUUGUAUCUAGCCUUAUGGAUAUGUUCAACGCAGUAAGUUCUACUCUACAAAAUAUAUCUUCUCGCGCUUCUACUGGUACACACCGAGCUGAUGCAGAUACUGCUUACAAGUACUUGAUCGACUUUGAGUUUGUGUUUGGACUAUGUAUGAUGAGGGAGAAAUUGGAAAUCAGUGAAGAGCUUGGGAAAGCUUUACAAAAGAAAAGACAAGACAUAGUGAAUGUGUUGGGGAACGUUGCAUGGGAAACAAAAAAUUUCCUAUGCAUACGAAGAUCUAUCAUGGUGAUGUCCAUCUAUGAGAGGAGAUUUGGAUCUACGUACCCUUGUAGAUCGCACGACAGGAAGCGUUAAGAAACGCGGUUGAUGUAGUGGAACGUCUUCACGUUCCUCGAUCAGCCCCACGAACCGUCCCACGAACCGUCCCGCGAUCCGUCCCACGAUCCGUUCCGAUCUAGUGCCGAACGGACGACACCUCCGCGUUCAUUACACGUACAGCUCGACGAUGAUCUCGGUCUUCUUGAUCCAGCAAGCAAGACGGAAAAGUAGAUGAGUUCUCCGACAGCGUGACGACGCUUCGGUGGUGGUGACGAUUGAUACGUCUCCAACGUAUCUAUAAUUUUUUAUGGUUCUAUGCUAUUAUCUUGUCAAAUUUUGGAUGUUUUGUAUGCCUUUUAUAUCUUUUUUGGGACUAACUUAUUAACUUAGUGCCAAGUGACAGUUCCUGUUUUUUCCGUGUUUUUGACUUUUUCAGAGGAGAAUAUCAAACGGAGUCCAAACGGAAUAAAACUCCGAAAAGAUUUUUUCCGGAACAGAAGAUACGCAGGAAGCUUGAGAACCAAGGCAAAGGGCACCAGAGGAGGCCACAAGCCCCUAGCCGUGGCCUGGGGGCGCCUAGCAGGCUUGUGGGCCCC